CGGCGUGCCUAAUACAUGCAAGUCGAGCGGAUCUUCAUUAGCUUGCUUUUGAAGAUCAGCGGCGGACGGGUGAGUAACACGUGGGCAACCUGCCUGUAAGACUGGGAUAACUUCGGGAAACCGGAGCUAAUACCGGAUAAUCCUUUCCCUCACAUGAGGGAAAGCUGAAAGACGGUUUCGGCUGUCACUUACAGAUGGGCCCGCGGCGCAUUAGCUAGUUGGUGAGGUAACGGCUCACCAAGGCAACGAUGCGUAGCCGACCUGAGAGGGUGAUCGGCCACACUGGGACUGAGACACGGCCCAGACUCCUACGGGAGGCAGCAGUAGGGAAUCUUCCGCAAUGGACGAAAGUCUGACGGAGCAACGCCGCGUGAACGAUGAAGGCCUUCGGGUCGUAAAGUUCUGUUGUCAGAGAAGAACAAGUACCGGAGUAACUGCC
RNAcentral lists this ribosomal RNA (439 nucleotides) under Mesobacillus jeotgali. RNAcentral's name for it is "bacterial SSU rRNA". It matches the Rfam family "Bacterial small subunit ribosomal RNA", at positions 40 to 468 of the family's 1533-position model. Lineage: Bacteria; Bacillati; Bacillota; Bacilli; Caryophanales; Bacillaceae. The record is from RNAcentral.